RNAcentral lists this ribosomal RNA (110 nucleotides) under Acanthosepion pharaonis. The record is from RNAcentral. Lineage: Eukaryota; Metazoa; Mollusca; Cephalopoda; Sepiida; Sepiidae.
UGCCAUAUCACGUUGAAACACCAGCUCCCGUACGAUCACCGAAGUUAAGCAACGUCGAGCUUGGUCUAUACCUAGAUGAGUGACCGCUUGGGAAUACCAAGUGCUGUAAG